Molecule: ribosomal RNA, 650 nt
Filed under: uncultured marine bacterium
Lineage: Bacteria
Description: bacterial SSU rRNA
Rfam family: Bacterial small subunit ribosomal RNA
Source: RNAcentral
CUACUUUGCUGACGAGCGGCGGACGGGUGAGUAAUGCUUGGGAACAUGCCUUGAGGUGGGGGACAACAGUUGGAAACGACUGCUAAUACCGCAUAAUGUCUACGGACCAAAGGGGGCUUCGGCUCUCGCCUUUAGAUUGGCCCAAGUGGGAUUAGCUAGUUGGUGAGGUAAUGGCUCACCAAGGCGACGAUCCCUAGCUGGUUUGAGAGGAUGAUCAGCCACACUGGGACUGAGACACGGCCCAGACUCCUACGGGAGGCAGCAGUGGGGAAUAUUGCACAAUGGGCGCAAGCCUGAUGCAGCCAUGCCGCGUGUGUGAAGAAGGCCUUCGGGUUGUAAAGCACUUUCAGUCAGGAGGAAAGGUUAGUAGUUAAUACCUGCUAGCUGUGACGUUACUGACAGAAGAAGCACCGGCUAACUCCGUGCCAGCAGCCGCGGUAAUACGGAGGGUGCGAGCGUUAAUCGGAAUUACUGGGCGUAAAGCGUACGCAGGCGGUUUGUUAAGCGAGAUGUGAAAGCCCCGGGCUCAACCUGGGAACUGCAUUUCGAACUGGCAAACUAGAGUGUGAUAGAGGGUGGUAGAAUUUCAGGUGUAGCGGUGAAAUGCGUAGAGAUCUGAAGGAAUACCGAUGGCGAAGGCAGCCACCUGG